Non-coding RNA from Acanthosepion pharaonis, 114 nucleotides. NCBI's taxonomy places the organism in Eukaryota, Metazoa, Mollusca, Cephalopoda, Sepiida, Sepiidae. The record is from the annotation of a GenBank genome assembly.
UUACAGCCAUACCAUAUCGAAACAGCAGUUCUUGUAUGAUCACCGACGUUAAGCAACGUCGUGCCUGUUCAGUACCUAGAUGGGUGACCUCUUGGUAAUACCAGAUACUGCAAG